This is a long non-coding RNA of Neofelis nebulosa (Clouded leopard), 415 nucleotides long. RefSeq lists it as uncharacterized. NCBI's taxonomy places the organism in Eukaryota, Metazoa, Chordata, Mammalia, Carnivora, Felidae. The record is from RefSeq and is a predicted model, not a curated record. The transcript has 2 exons.
CCGUCUCCAGGUGCCGCCUGUCCUUCUACCCCUGCGGAGGACACCAGCGCUCUGAUGGGCACCCUCUGCCGUGGCUCCUGGGUUCCCUCAACAUGCCUUCCACGACGGCUGUUGAGAAGUCAGCUGCGAACCUGGUUGCUGUCGUUCGAGGGCAUCCGCCUUGUGGUACCAGCUGCUUCCACAAUCUUCUCGCUGUCUUCGGUGUUCCGCGCUUUCGCCGCGACGUACCCGGGUGUGGAUUUCUGCUCGUCCGCCCUUGCCUUUUUAUUUCCCUUUUAUAUUAUUCACGUACUGCAUUCUAGGUACCUUCUUUUCACGUGUCUUUUAGGGCAGAAGAGCAUCCCAAGCUGGGUCCCCCCGCUUUACUCUUUCACAUAUCAAUAGAGGUCAAAUUAUAAAUCAAGCUGUUACAAGC